CCCUUUACUUUUUUUCAUUUUCGCAGGUGAACUCCAGGAAGCAACAAUCACAGCAACCGACGACUCCGACCAAAACCCGCACCCUCCGGUGGAAUCGGUCACAAGAAACGACUAGAUCCAAUGUUCUCCGGUAACAUACGUAUUGCUCUCUCUGUUUUAAUUUUAGUUUAGUCUCUGUUUUGUGAUUGCAAAGUAAUUGAUAUUUUUUCUAGGUGAAGUAAUUAUUUCUUUAGAUUGUUUUCUGUUUGAUAGCCUUAUUUUAUUAUUAUCUCUGGGUUAGUUAUUUUGUAUAAAUUUGUUCAAAUUUUUUAGUGAUUCUUCCUUAGAAUGUUUACAUAUUGUUGAAAUUAUAUAGAUAUCUUUUGGUUCAUUUUUUUUAUUAUUAUUAUUAUAUUAUGUUUUACGUGAAAUUAUUUACCUUAUUCGCAUUAUAUUUUAUUGUUUAUCUUAAAAAAAAAUAGAUUAAUGCUUUGUUACGUUAUAAUUUUUAUGCACGGUAUGGAUUCAUCAUUAGUUUCUAUUAUUUAUUACACACUGUUUAUACGUGACUUUGCAGAAAUUGUGUUACUGUGGUAUUAUUUAAUUAAUUAUCAUUGUUUUAUUAGAUUGUUGAUCGCUUGGUGGUUCUUAUUUUCAUUAUUAUUAUUGGGAUAUGUUGUUAUAAUUUGAUGUUUGUUUAUUGCUUUGUAUUGUCCUUUAGUUAGUUGCGUAUGACUUUAUGCCAGAAAAAUAUUUCGUUGGCCAAUAAAAAAAUCUCCCUGUCGGUUUUGGAGGUCAAUCCAUUUAAAAAGAUGAAAAUUUAGUUUAUGUUUAUAUAUUUUAUUUGUUAAAAUUGGCCAAUGAAAAAAAAAAUUCGUCGGUUUUGGAGGCCUCCACAUUUUAAAAGAUGAAAAUUUAGUUUAAGUUUAUAUUUUUUGUAGUUAAAAUGGUCGAUGAAGAAAUUAACGUCGAUAUCCAAGGCCUCUCAUGUUAAUAAGACGAGUUUUUAUCUUGAAGUUAUUAUUUAAUUCAUUUAUUUUUAUUCAUAUUUAUUUAGUACUAACACUUUUACUAAAUGUCUUUACAGGUAAUUGAAGUUGCUUUCUAUUAAAGCCAUUCGAAUAAAGUUUGAAUUAUAUUAUUUAUUCAUUAUUUUGUAGAUAUUGGCAAUAGGCAAGCCUUAGGUCGAUUCUUACAUUAUUAUUUUAUUUUAUUAUUUGUGUAUAUUGCAUGUUGAUUGUACUUAUAUAUUUAUUUUUAUCUCUUCCUCAAUUUGAAAAAAAUGAAUUUAGUUAGAACCCAUAAUUGUGAAUUUUGAAGGAUGUCUAACACCUUCCUUUUGGAAUAACUUGAACUCCUUAUUUAGAAUCUAAUGAUUUCGUAGAUCAUUUAAUUAGUUUCCUAGUUUUUCUUAAAAUUAGGUGGCGACUCUUUUAAAAUUCGUUUAUUCUUUAAUUUCUUUUAAAAUUGACUUAAUUGAUUUUUUUUGAGUAACCAUGACUUUUUUUCCUAUUUGAAUAGAGUAGGGAUGUAAACAGAAUGACAAUUUCGCUGGAAAUAUAGAGGUGCUAACCAUUAUGAAUUUAUUUUUUCAAAUUGAGGAGCAUUUUCUUUUAUUGUGUUAUACCUUGUACUUUGUACAUUUUGUUGAUUAUUUGUAUAUUGUACUUAUUGUUUAUUCAUUUAAUUGUAUGUAUAUUGUCAUUUCAUGACAUAACUUUCGUCAAAUGGCAAAUAGAAUGCAUUAGGAUAAAGGCGGUUACGUGGCUUUCUACGGCUGUCCUUCAGAAAAGCACCUUCGAAUUCUUAUGAAGUGAUAAAUGAAUAGUUGGCGUGUGGUCAUCCAACGUCGUUUAUUAUAUUUCACCCCGUAGUUUGUCCAACUCGAGUAACCGGGUUUUAUCUAAAUCACUCUUAGUCAACUAGUGUAGAGCAAAGCCAAAAUCGUGUAUUUAGCGCAUUUGCUUGAGAUGACACAACACUCAAGACACAUUUGUAUAAGACAUGCAUUCAUUGUUUGUGUGUUAUGUGAUAUACCUGUUUUACGUGAAUAUGUUGUAUGAUAGUCCAUUAUUUUAAAGUUUUUAAGAGCUUUAGACAUAAAUAUCAAGUCACUUUUACCUUUUGAGUUUUUUUUGAAAGCUUGAAGGUUAUUGCUCGUCCGGAGCGACAAGGGACAAGAAAACUCGCAAAAAAUGAGUCUUAGGAUUUCACAAGACAAUAAUUAGUAGAAAAGACAAAUCAGGGGAGUCUUUGACUAUCAAGUCGCACUCAUCUAUUUGGUUAUUUCUUUUAUUUUUGAUGGCCCUGCUUUCACACAUUUCUUAUAUUUUUGUAGGAAAAUCGUCCUUGACAAUAUCGGGGAUGGUCAUAACAAUGUGUGGUUCUCGUGGAUAAUUGAGAGAAGACAUAGUUCCAAGAGACAUUUAAAAAGAAUACAAAAACAAGUGGUUAUUGUAGAAAUUCGGAGGCCACAUUCAACAAACAGUACAAAGAUCGACAGUUAAGAGGAUGCAAAACAUAUUAGUGCAAACAGUCAAAAGACACUCUCUAACUAAAGAUGUUAGCGGCACUAUACUUAUAAGCAUCACUCUAUGUUUGCCUAAAUUUUUCAAGAAUUUUAUGUCUUAUUUGAACGAAAUACGCGUACCUGAUUCUCAUAUUAAUGAGAUACGUAGGCAACUCUUCUUGAGUUUGGUAUUAUUUUUUCCAAAUGUCAAAAGAAAAAUAGAUUGUGCAUAUUUUCAAAGGCAUAUCUGCAUGAACUACGCACACCUGAUUCUCAUCUCGAUGAGAUACGUAGACAGCCCUGCUCGGGUUUGAUAUUUAUUCUUUCAAAAAAAACAUUGUGUUCAUAUUAUAAGAGUCAUGUCUUCAGCUCAAAUGGGACCAAUGCAGUUAGGAGCAUAUGCAAUAUUUGGUAUGAUGGAGAAGACUGAUUUUGUGGUAAAUCAUAGAUUUUUUUGGUACCUCUCAUUUGUACUUUUGUGAUGCUUGAAAAUUCUCUUGCAGACAUUCAAGAUAAGAAUAAAACCAACCUCAUGGUUUCAUGUGCAUGGUGUGGAGAGAUUUUAGUUCAAAAUUCAAUUGCAUUGCACUGUUGAUCUAGAACUUGGCUUGAAUGUUUUUCGAGGUGAAAUCCUGAAUAAUGUUUGGUUUGGGAAAUGAUUGUAGGCAUUUUUUUAUCCAAUAUAUUGUACCUUUCAAAGCCUAUCAAAUGACAUUAAUCCCUAGUUUUCCCCAUUUUGAGCUUGAAGCCUUUUCUUUGGACUACCACAUCUUAGCCACUACCCCUUUUGAGUACUUACAUGCACUGUCCCUCUCUUGGCCCAACCUUCUUGAGUGCACCAAAAGUGUGCAAAUUAUAAUAGAAGAUUCAUGUUUGAAGUUGCCAAAGACAAAAGAUACAAAGUCUCCCAAAGUCAAAGAAGCAAAAAACAACUUCUAGAAAAAAAAGGAAGAUGGAAAGAAAUAAAGAAAGACAAAUACACCCAUACAAGGUCAAUGAAAGACGAGAAGGAAAAAACUUCAACAAAAAAGGAGAAAACUUCAAAAGAAAGGGGUGAAAAAAGAAAAACUCCAAGAAAUAAAGACUCAAAAGAAGUCAAAACAAAAUAAAGAGGCGAAAAAAAGGAAAAACUCCAAUAAAUGAGAAUUCAAAGGAAGUCGAAAAAAAAAGGGAGGACAAUGAAGAGGAUCUGACGCCAAAGGCGUAUCAAUUGUCAAAAACGCAAAUUCAUUGUGACGCUCAAGAAGGAAUAAAGUCACUCUUAUUCCAAAUAUAUAUCCUACCCGUCCCUAAGCCUACGUUACAAGCCAAUGACAAACCCUACAUGAUCUCAUUCCAAAUGUUCUCACAUUAGUGGAAAUUUACAUAAGGGCCAAACAUAUGGUAUCACAAUUGCAUGCACUGAACAUUCUUGUAAGUGUGAGUGCACUAUGAAAAAUGUCCUCAAAUCAAACACUUCAAAUAUGUGUAAAAUAGGACUUGUCUUUACUGUGAGGGCACUUGAAACAGGGGAAUUGGUACAAUUCAAAACAUUUGUUUAUCAAGAUGAACAAUUUUUUUUAAUCAUUAAGUAUGUUUGAGGUACCACUUGAAGCUAUAGGAAUUACCUUGAAUUCAAUCUUGGUUAGAAAAAGAAAAAAAAAGAAGAAGAGAGAUUUACCUGCAAUCCUAACUGUUGGUAUCAAUUGUAGUCAAGAUUUGACUGUCUCAUCACAUUCUUUAUACUUCAAAAAAAAAAAGGUGAGCAAGCACCUACUCUUUAAUAUUUUUCAAAGCAUUUUUUUAAAUUCUUUCCAUUAAAGAAAAAAAAGAAUUUGUCUUUCCUUUUGGAGUUAUUCAUUGUAAAAAGUGUCAUUAGGCUAAUCUCGUCAGUGUGAGAUGCUUAUUUUACUUCAUUGGGUUGUCCGUCAAAAAAAUGUGACAUAUCUUUUGUCGUUAGGCUUUGAAUAUCGUAGGAAAUAUUUUUUUUAAAAAUUUCAUUAUGUUCAUAUUGUACAUUUUCUACUGAUGAUCUUGUCUCAAAUUCUUUGCAGUAUUCAUCAUCUACACAAUUGGAACUGCAUUUGACCUGAUUCCUGGCUCAACAAGAUAUGUAUGCGUCACCACAACUCGGUCAUAUACCCAGUGUGAUUUUCUUUUCUCCUUGUAAUAAAAAUUGGGACAUAAUUUUUGAGAAUCUCUCAAAAAUUCACAACAAAGGUGUUAUCUCCAUCAAGUCAAGAUUGAAGAUUAUUUUGAGAUUUGUCAAAAGUUCUAACUGGGACAGAAUUUUUGAGGAAGACCUCAAAACUUCCAACAAGUACUGUCAGAAGCUUGAUAGUCAACUUCAAAUGAUCCAUCAUCGCUUGAAGUUCAAAGUCAACUUGCAAAUCUCCAACAUUGUCAUGGCAAGCCAACAACUCCUCGUACAAAUCCCUAAUAAGACAUAAGUCACAAUAAACAUAAAAUGGUCAAGAGUAAAAUGAUGGUUGCUCACAUGUGUCAAAGUGAUCAAGCAUUUUGUACACAUUCUAUUUUAAAGAAUAUUUUCUCAAGGUUUCUUACUAAGUCGCUAGCUAAGGCGACAUUAUGUCUACUAAUUGUUCCUUUUCAAGUACAGGAACAGGUGAAAGCAUUGAGGCGAUAACACUUUCCAGAAAAUCAUCGAGUCAUCCACCUCGUUACAGUUGGAAAAUUAUCGAGUCAUCCACCUCGUUACAGUUGGACAAACAUCGAGUCAUCCACCUUGUUACAGUUGGACAAUCAUCGAGUCUUCCACCUCGUUACAGUUGGACAAUCAUCGAGUCAUCUACCUCGUUACAGUUGGAUAAUCAUAGAUCCAUCCACCUCUUUACAGUUGGACAAUCAUCGAGCCAUUCAUCUCGUUACAGUGGACAAUCAUCGAGUCAUCCACCUCGUUACAGUUGGACAAACUUCGAGCCAUCCACCUCAUUACAGUUGGACAAUCACGAGUCAUCCACCUCGUUACAAUGGACAAUCAUUGAGCCAUCCACCUCGUUACAAUGGACAAUCACGAGUCAUCCACCUCGUUACAAUGGACAAUCAUUGAGUCAUCCACCUCGUUACAAUGGAAAAUCAUUAGGCCAUCCAUCAUUUACAUUUUUUCAUUACAUUUUUUAUUUGCUGAAAGGGCCAUUGCAUUUUUCAUUUGCCAAGAGGGUUAUUGCAUUUUUCAUUUCCCAAGAGGACCAUUGCAUUUUCAUUCGCCGAAAGGCCAUUGCAUUUAAGUCACAUCUAUUCGGAGGUGAAUGAUGUGCACCCUAUCUAUUCCAUCUUCAAGUCGGAGGAGACUUUCGUUGAAAGAUAUUUGCAUCUAAGUCGCAUCUAUUCGGAGGUGAAUGAUGUGCACCCUAUCUAUUCCGCGUUCAAGUCAGAGGAGACUUGCAUUGAAAGAUAUUUGCAUUUAAGUCGCAUCUAUUCAGAGGUGAAGGAUGUGCACCGUAUAUAUUUCACAUUGAAGUCGGAGGAGGCUGGCGUUGAAGGAUAUACAUUCAGAUCCUACCGAUGGAUCAUUUUUAUUUGUCCUAUGGAUGGACAGGCUUAUAUCCUAUUGAUGGAUCAUUUUCAUUUGUCUUAUCGAUGGACAUGCAUUCAGAUCCUAUCGAUAGAUCGUCUUCAUUUGUCCUACCGAUGGACAUACAUUCAGAUUCUACCGAUGAAUCAUUUUUAUUCGUCCUACCAAUGGACAUACAUUCAUAUCCUACCGAUGGAUCAUCUUUAUUCGUCUUACCGAUGGACAUACAUUAAGAUCCUACUGAUGGAUCAUUUUCAUUCGUCCUACCGAUAGACAUGCAUUGAUAUCCUACAGAUGAAUCAUCUUCAUUCGUCGUGUCUUAAAGGAUGCUACAUUUUUCUUUAAUCUUGUCUCUACUAAGGAGUUUUGUUUUUUCAAGAACAUCCAAAAUGAUGCAUUCUCAAUUAAGCCAUAGGUGUGGACUACAUCAACAAAAAUGAGCACAACGUGGAAUCCUUUGGAAGCAAGUUGAGGAUCGAAUUUCACCACAUUUCAACCACACAUUUAUAUGAAGGUCAUGUGUUCGGUCAAAAUUGGGUUCGUCAAGUUUCUUUGUCCAUGAUUUCUUUCAUCAAUCAUAUCCAACGAAAGGAACAACUGUUGACACCCAAUUUUUUCCUAACAUUUUCAAAAUUCGUAACUUUUAAAUUUUUUUUGUUGAAUAGUUCAAAAUACAUUUUUUAUAAUUUAAAAUAAGUUUAUCGAUAACUAUCCUUAUUUAUCAAAUUUAGGAUUUUUUAUCAGUUAAUUUUAAUUACAUUAUUUUUUGUCACAGUCGAUUGAAUACGUUCAAAUAUUUAUUCACUUUGAUUAAAUCAUUAGUUCUUUUAAAUUGCAAUUUUUACAUGUUAUUAGUUACGUUCAGUACAUAUUUUUUAAUAUUUAUUUUAUUUGUUACAUUUGUUAAUAUUCAUUGUGAUAUUUUACACAGUUUAAAAAUUCAUUCGAAUAUGAAUAAGACUUCAUACACAGAUAUUGAAUUAGCUAGUGGAUUUGAUCCAUGAUUUUAAGAUAAUAGUGGUUUUCAAUUUCUAUUUAAACAAUAGCUUAGUGACUAAGUUUGUGGGUGGUGAAAUAAAUUUUGAAUAGUGAGUAUAAUUUUCAGAUUUUUUAAAUUCAUAAACGUCUCUUAUUUUUCUGAUGAACAUGCCGGAUUCGGGGAACCAGCACCACCCAAGACCCACGAGACCCCAUUUCUUUGCUCUUUUUCACCAAACAAACGAAACCACCGGAGGCUACUCCGAUCAACACCCAAACGCCUCCAUUUUCUCCAUCCAGUGGCCACUGAAACAACCAACCAAAUGACCCCCUUUCCCGACCAACAGAUCCAAAACCUCUGACCCACACCACCAUUGAAACAGCCCCCAAACAGCCUUCCUUCCUCCACUGCAUCACUACCAGAAACACACGCCCAAACCACCACAAAAUCAUCACCCACGCCACCAAAACCCCAUCACCUUUCCUGCGAAACCCAAAACCCCAUCAGAAAUCAACACCAAAAUAGCGAAACCACACCCAAACAAUCAGCUCAACACUACCAUCAAACCAACAGACCCCCAACUCUUAUUUUCCCACAUUCACUGUUCUCAAACUUCAACAGUAACAAACCACAACCCAAAACGAACCAGACCUCCACCACUACCAUAACAGCCGCGAACCAGUCCUCUUUCCCUCUCCCCUUUACAUUUUGUCGUUUACGCAGGUGAACUCCAGGUAGCAACAAUCACAGCAACCGACGACUCCGACCAAAACCCGCACCCUCCGGUGGAAUCGGUCACAAGAAAUGACUAGAUCCAAUGUUCUCCGGUAACAUACGUAUUGCUCUUUCUCUUUUAAUUUUUGUUUAGUCUCUAUUUUGUGAUUGCAAAGUAAUUGAUAUUUUUUCCAGGUGAAGUAAUUAUUUCUUUAGAUUGUUUUCUGUUUGUUAGCCUUAUUUUAUUAUUAUCUCUGG
This 7953-nucleotide long non-coding RNA is filed under the name Solanum tuberosum (potato). RNAcentral describes it as "long non-coding RNA (STUB_LNC011517)". The record is from RNAcentral. Lineage: Eukaryota; Viridiplantae; Streptophyta; Magnoliopsida; Solanales; Solanaceae.